Molecule: ribosomal RNA, 202 nt
Filed under: uncultured bacterium
Lineage: Bacteria
Description: partial 16S ribosomal RNA
Rfam family: Bacterial small subunit ribosomal RNA
Source: RNAcentral
UACGAAGGGUGCAAACGUUGCUCGGAAUUAUUGGGCGUAAAGCGCACGUAGGCGGCUCUACAAGUCCCAUGUGAAAUCCCACGGCUUAACCGUGGAAGUGCAUGGGAAACUGCAGAGCUUGAGUACUUAAGAGGAUCGCGGAAUUCCCGGUGUAGAGGUGAAAUUCGUAGAUAUCGGGAGGAACACCAGUGGCGAAGGCGAG